Molecule: ribosomal RNA, 492 nt
Filed under: uncultured bacterium
Lineage: Bacteria
Description: partial 16S ribosomal RNA
Rfam family: Bacterial small subunit ribosomal RNA
Source: RNAcentral
AGUGAACGCUGGCGGUAGGCCUAACACAUGCAAGUCGAACGGCAGCACAGUAAGAGCCUGCUCUUACGGGUGGCGAGUGGCGGACGGGUGAGGAAUACAUCGGAAUCUACUUUUUCGUGGGGGAUAACGUAGGGAAACUUACGCUAAUACCGCAUACGACCUACGGGUGAAAGUAGGGGAUCUUCGGACCUUGCGCGAUUGAAUGAGCCGAUGUCGGAUUAGCUAGUUGGCGGGGUAAAGGCCCACCAAGGCGACGAUCCGUAGCUGGUCUGAGAGGAUGAUCAGCCACACUGGAACUGAGACACGGUCCAGACUCCUACGGGAGGCAGCAGUGGGGAAUAUUGGACAAUGGGCGCAAGCCUGAUCCAGCCAUACCGCGUGGGUGAAGAAGGCCUUCGGGUUGUAAAGCCCUUUUGUUGGGAAAGAAAAGCAGCAGGUUAAUACCCCGCUGUUCUGACGGUACCCAAAGAAUAAGCACCGGCUAACUUCGUG